AAUUGGAGUGCCAGUGGUGGCGAGCAGAGAAAAGGGCCCAUGCCAGGCCCAAAGCCCUUCUUAACCCUAACAGAAAUUAGGGGUUCCAGUAGCUCCACCCCAUUUCUUCUCAUUUGCAAAGCAGCACCCAAGAUGCUCUCCUCUGAACGAAAAACACCAUGGCACACACCACUGCUCACGGCCACGAUUCAGCUUCCGGCCACAGCAAACCGAGGUCCAACGGCGUCGCCGACAACGAUCCUCGUCGCCUGAGCCACUAAGUCGAAGUCGUCGUCCUCCGUCGAGCUGGUCACCACUAGAUGCAGCCAGAAACUCUGUCAACGCCGACGGCCACCGC
This 337-nucleotide long non-coding RNA is filed under the name Vigna radiata. RNAcentral's name for it is "long non-coding RNA (VRAD_LNC005070)". Lineage: Eukaryota; Viridiplantae; Streptophyta; Magnoliopsida; Fabales; Fabaceae. The record is from RNAcentral.